AACCAAGGAACGUCAACUAAGAACUGCCUCGUCCGGUGGCAAACGCGACGUCAGCACAUCCUGUGCA
This 67-nucleotide small RNA is filed under the name Bacillus sp. CECT 9360. Its description in RNAcentral is "Bacillaceae-1". It matches the Rfam family "Bacillaceae-1 RNA". Lineage: Bacteria; Bacillati; Bacillota; Bacilli; Caryophanales; Bacillaceae. The record is from RNAcentral.